CUCCUCCGCCUGUCUAUGAAUAUGUGAUAUCUAUCGAGCUGAAGGCUGCAGAUGAUGAAGUUGUAGCAGAGCUGAGAAACAUCAGCUAUCCAGUCAGCAUCAACAGCAACAUACAGAUCUCUGAUGUUAACAUCUCUACAGUCUGCUCUCCAAUCAGUGGUGAUUACCAGUGCAGAUGUGAGGAUCAGUAUCGUUUUCCAUGUGACCAGUGUGUAACAUAUGGAUCAUGUGACAACAUCACUGGUGACACAUGUGGAUGCAUCAGUGGCAUUCCUGCUAAUGGACAGUACUGCCAGGCUGAGGAUCAAUACAACUUUACAUCAUGUCCUGCUACAACACUUGCCCCA
Long non-coding RNA from Xiphophorus couchianus (Monterrey platyfish), 347 nucleotides. RefSeq lists it as uncharacterized. NCBI's taxonomy places the organism in Eukaryota, Metazoa, Chordata, Actinopteri, Cyprinodontiformes, Poeciliidae. The record is from RefSeq and is a predicted model, not a curated record. The transcript has 3 exons.